Molecule: transfer RNA, 75 nt
Filed under: Candidatus Bathyarchaeota archaeon
Lineage: Archaea; Thermoproteati; Candidatus Bathyarchaeota
Also listed under: 2 other names
Description: tRNA-Tyr
Rfam family: tRNA
About the family: Transfer RNA (tRNA) molecules are approximately 80 nucleotides in length. Their secondary structure includes four short double-helical elements and three loops (D, anti-codon, and T loops).
Source: RNAcentral
CCCGCCGUAGCUUAGUGGUAGAGCAUCCGGCUGUAGACCGGAGGGUCGCCGGUUCAAAUCCGGCCGGCGGGACCA